Molecule: non-coding RNA, 797 nt
Organism: Salmo salar (Atlantic salmon)
Lineage: Eukaryota; Metazoa; Chordata; Actinopteri; Salmoniformes; Salmonidae
Source: RefSeq, a predicted model, not a curated record
CAGGAUCCAAACUCAGUUUUAGACGAGACUGAAUAUCUGACCAAAAUUAUCAUAUUUACACUUUGUAGUCAAUUUUGACUCUAGAAUAAAUGUUUCUGACUCAUAUCGAUUCCACAGGCCGUUUUCACAAUGAUUAGUUGGUUUUUAGGGGGAGUCGUUCAUUAACCCUCUGAUCGGAGGAGAGCAACGUUUUAGCUACAUUUUGCCUCCAAAAAGAAAAUACGACCCCGAAUUGCAGAAACACAGGUUGUAACUUGUUCGCUAUCUUCAGCUGAUUCCGAAUGUAAUUUCUAUCAUCCUGGCACAUUCCGUUGAAACGGGUAUUGUCGUGCAAAGUGUAACCUUUAAUAUAAAGCUAACUAUACCCUAGUCACACUUUCAGGAAUUUCACAGCCGUAAUGCAUUGGAAGAGGAUAUUUUUGAUAGUUCUCUUCAAAUAAACAACUUGGAAGAUGGCAAAUAGCGAAGCGUCUGCGGUGGUGUUCAAAUGGUCUGAUGACAAUACUGGGCAUUUAAUUCAGUGGCGAAUAACACCUGUUCACCGGCAGGAGAAAUGCCACAACAAAAGGUUUUGAGAUCUAUGUGAAGGAGUGUGAGUUGGCGGGGCAGCUGCAUCGGUGAAAAAGAAGUGGGAGAAGGAGGUGACUGCCAAGGAUGGGCAUGCCUUAUGGCCAUUUUAGAGUCCAUGAUUAAGAAGUAGUUAUACGUAUUGUAUUUCUAGAUAUUCAUUUAUACAUUUUCUACUGUUUUUGGUGAAGUCUUGAAGUGGAUUUCUGUUUUGUCAUUGAAAAGUGUUU